This 830-nucleotide unclassified non-coding RNA is filed under the name Stegodyphus dumicola. RNAcentral's name for it is "zinc finger protein 271-like, transcript variant X1". The record is from RNAcentral. Lineage: Eukaryota; Metazoa; Arthropoda; Arachnida; Araneae; Eresidae.
GGUGCGAAACAAUACAUUUGUCAACUUUUCUGUAUUGGAAUGAUAAAUAGGAAUGGAUGUUUGUAAAUGUUUAAUAAAACGCUUGUUGUUAAUUAUAACUUUAACCUUGACGGACUGGAAGAAACGGCUUUCGCCAAAGUCCACAUCUCUUUUCUUCUUGCUUAAAAAGCAAGAUUGAUACAGAUACAGAAAUGAUAAGUGAGCAGUAUUUGAGACAAGUUAAAAGAAGUACCAGCAGCAAAAUUCUUCGCCAUCUGUGUACCGUGAAAUCUGGGAAUUAUGUUAAUAAAUCUAAAUAAUCUAAAACUAGCUAACAUAUAAUUAAUCUAAAGUGGCUAACAAAUCUAAAUAAUCGAAACAUCAUGUAAACAAGGGGCACCCAAUUGCAAACUUUUACCAAGCAUAUUUCUAUGAAACGUAACAAGUGGAUUUUUAUUAAACUGUUUCCAGAAAUCAAGCCUUGCUUAUGUAGCACAUUAGCGUUCUUCUAAUGGCAGGAUUAAGCUUAUCCUAAAAUUAUUCUGAAGGCUCGUUUGCAUUAUAAAAUUCUGAAUCAGAGAAAUACAUAUGAAAUUGAUGAUUGCUUUUGAAUCGGAAUUUGAUUAAUCUGAUAUAAACUUGGGAAAUAAAAUGCUUGAAUUCUGAAUAUGUGAGAUGAAAAGUUUGACCAGUCAAAGAUAUGGAAGUUAUCAAGAGGCAAUUUGUUGAUGCUGCAUGCUGAGCAACAUUGUGCAAAUGUCAGUUGCAAUAAAUAAUUUUAUCAAUAAUUUAAAUGUUGCAAAUCAUCUUUCUUUAUAAAAUGAAAAAUAAAAAUGUUCUCAAAGCUAAAA